This 611-nucleotide long non-coding RNA is filed under the name Oryctolagus cuniculus (rabbit). Its description in RNAcentral is "lncRNA (ENSOCUG00000036275.1)". Lineage: Eukaryota; Metazoa; Chordata; Mammalia; Lagomorpha; Leporidae. The record is from RNAcentral.
GUGUAUUCUUUAUUGUAAGGGUUCUGUUUCUCUCUCUCCCCACCCACAACCAUCCCCACCCUCGUCCUCUCAUAUGCUCACUUGGCCUCUGCCUUCCACCAUAUGGUGAUGCAGCAAGAAGACCAAAUGUGGAAUCUUGGACCAGGUCUGUGAGACAGAUUAACUUUUAUUGUUUAUAAAUUAUCCAAUGUAUGAUAUUCUAUUAAAAUAGUACAAAAUGGAUUAAGAUGUGUCCUAAAGUGCUAACUUGGACCUGGAUUUAUCAUUCCCUGGCAGAUGAAGAGAAUGCCAUCAGAAGUGGUGUGGAGGCUACAGAUAAUCCCUUGCUCCAGAUUUUGCAGGUGGUGACCUUGAAAAUUGUCCAGGAAGAAGAGGACCUGGGAGAAGCUUCUCUUGGUGCCUAGUGCCAUUGUUGUCACUGAAAACUCUGCUGAUGUCAAUGUGCUGUCCUCCAGGAACACUGGCCAGAGGGCUGUACAUAUGUUUGCUGCUGCCACUGGAGCUACUCCUAUUGCUGGCCACUUCACACCUGGAACUUUCACUAACCAGAUCCAGGCAGCUUUCCAGGAUCCAUGCAUUCUAUUGAUUACUGAUUCCAGGGCUGAUCACCA